GUCUCUUAGCAGGUUCCAGCACACCCCUGUUUCCAUGGAACUAGAAGAUUACAUCUUCUAUAUUUGUGGUAUCCUCAGUUGGCAGGAUUAGAUCUCCUACCUUCCCAUAUUGAGAGGUUGAGAGAUUUACUCCAGUUGACAAGUUAUAGCAUCACAGGACCUAAGAUCUGAUGAUGACAUUAUUCCCUGAGCAUUAUACUGCACAACUGCUGACCUGAAGUAAUAUUUAUAGUAAUACAGAGAUAUACUGUUUAUGUUUAAUAUCCAGGCUCUCCAUAACAUGUAUAUGCAAAUAUAUAUACAGAGGAGAUGUACAUACAUAUAGAUAUGCAUGUACACAUACAUUUAAAUUGGCCUUAUUUAUUAACCCUUUCAAAUUUCUAGACAAUCAACAAAACAAUAAUUCAAACUUUAAUUUAUAGACCAUUGCUUUCUGAGUACAAAUACUCAAAAAGAAAACAUAACCCUCUGCUUUGGAUCAGAACUGCCUCAAGCCACCUCCCACUUUCAUAUUAAAAAGGGUGCUUCCAAGAUCUCUGGAAACCUGAUCUACAAAUAUCAAAUCCAGUGUUUUUUCCCACCUUCCACUUUGCCUCAAAAUCUUAUGGAAUUAUCAGUGAGAGGAUAAUAAAAAAUAUGAGUUGUGAAGAAACUAGCAAAUAAAGGAAAUUUCAGCUAAUCAAUAGCAAUAAGUGGCUGAAGCAAAGCUUUGAAAGACUGGAUAUGAAUAUGAAGAGUUUUAACUUCAGUAAA
Molecule: long non-coding RNA, 753 nt
Organism: Sarcophilus harrisii (Tasmanian devil)
Lineage: Eukaryota; Metazoa; Chordata; Mammalia; Dasyuromorphia; Dasyuridae
Exons: 3
Source: RefSeq, a predicted model, not a curated record